CGUUCCCAGGCCUUGUACACACCGCCCGUCGCAUCAUGAAAGCCGCUUGUACCCGAAGUCGCCCCUCAAAAGGUGCCGAAGGUAUGGGUGGUGAUUGGGAUG
Molecule: ribosomal RNA, 102 nt
Filed under: uncultured bacterium
Lineage: Bacteria
Description: partial 16S ribosomal RNA
Rfam family: Bacterial small subunit ribosomal RNA
Source: RNAcentral